RNAcentral lists this long non-coding RNA (321 nucleotides) under Homo sapiens (human). Its description in RNAcentral is "HSALNT0389617". Lineage: Eukaryota; Metazoa; Chordata; Mammalia; Primates; Hominidae. The record is from RNAcentral.
GAGGCAGCUACCAGAAGGGAGCACCAAGCAGAUGCAGCUCCCCUUCCCUCCCAUUCCACCAUCCACUGUCCCCAGCAAGAACCUGCGGGAGGGUGGCCCAAUGGGGAGAAAACUAAGGAUUCGGUGUUGGGACCACUCCUGCCCUGACCUGCCCUGUGACUCCGUCAUACUCUCCAAAGGCCAGACCCUCCUAGACCAGCUGGAACCACCAUCAAGAUGUCCCCAGCCAUGUCAGACUCUGGGGCCCCAGGCGGAGGGCAACCAGAUGUCUUCAGCUCCAAGUCUGGCCUCUCCUCCCAGCAAGCAGCCAGUGCUGCUGUG